GAGGGUAUAGUUCAGUGGUAGAGCGCCUGCUUAGCAUUCACGAGGUCCUGGCUUCAAUCCCCAGUACCUCCA
RNAcentral lists this transfer RNA (72 nucleotides) under Camelus bactrianus (Bactrian camel). It matches the Rfam family "tRNA". Rfam says of the family: Transfer RNA (tRNA) molecules are approximately 80 nucleotides in length. Their secondary structure includes four short double-helical elements and three loops (D, anti-codon, and T loops). RNAcentral also lists the same sequence under 2 other names. The record is from Rfam by way of RNAcentral. Lineage: Eukaryota; Metazoa; Chordata; Mammalia; Artiodactyla; Camelidae.